CCUACGGGUGGCUGCAGUAGGGAAUAUUGCUCAAUGGGGGAAACCCUGAAGCAGCAACGCCGCGUGGAGGAUGAAGGUUUUAGGAUUGUAAACCCCUUUUGUUAGAGAAGAUUAUGAGGGUAUGUAACGAUUAAGCACUGGCUAACACCGUGCCAGCAGCCGCGGUAAUACGGAGGGUGCAAGCGUUAGUCGGAAUCACUGGGCGUAAAGUGUGCGUAGGCGGGGUAAUAAGUCAGAUGUGAAAUCCUGUGGCUUAACUACAGAACUGCAUUUGAAACUGUUACUCUGGAGUGUGGGAGAGGUAGGUGGAAUUCCUGGUGUAGGGGUAAAAUCCGUAGAGAUAAAGAGGAAUACUCAUGGCGAAGGCGACCUGCUGGAACAUUACUGACGCUGAUGUACGAAAGCGUGGGGAGCAAACAGGAUUAGAUACCCGGGUAGUC
This 440-nucleotide ribosomal RNA is filed under the name uncultured bacterium. RNAcentral's name for it is "partial 16S ribosomal RNA". It matches the Rfam family "Bacterial small subunit ribosomal RNA", at positions 338 to 795 of the family's 1533-position model. The record is from RNAcentral.